Molecule: long non-coding RNA, 1168 nt
Filed under: Marmota monax (woodchuck)
Lineage: Eukaryota; Metazoa; Chordata; Mammalia; Rodentia; Sciuridae
Source: RNAcentral
UUUUUUUUCUUCCCUAACCCAGUUUUUCUGGCCAAAUCUAAGUGGUGAGUAUACUCUUCCAAGUGAGUUAGCCAAAGCUUGUUUUUGACCUGGUUACACAGUAGUUGGAUUGUUUGUAUAUUCCUCGGUCAGCAUAUGUGUUAAGGGCAGUGAAGUAAGUUAGAAGGCUGGAGCCCUUUUUGAAACCAUAAGAAAAAGGAAAGAAUAAAACCCCAGUGUGGAUUAAUUGGUUUUAAGAGAUGGGUGCUCUUUAUGGUAACAGCUUGGGAAGGUUCAUUGUUGUUUCCCCUUCUCAUUUCCUCUUUCCUUCCUUGUCCUUUACUGCUCAGGCUAUUGAAAGAGAUUUACUGAGACUACAUUUGGGAAGUAUUUGGGAUAGUGACAAUGACAAUAGUGCUCUGACUACAAAGUCUGCACAUUUGAGUAGAAAUUCUUUAAUUAUGCAAACCUCCAAGGAGUUAUAAAAAUCUGUGCAGUUGCAUAUAAUCCAGAAUAAAGUAGUACUUGAGAUUUUGCUGGUUAAUUUUACCAUUUUGGAAAUUUUCAGAUAUACACAAAGAGAAUUACAGUUCAGUUUAACGGUUAUCAAUCCAUGACUGACCUGUUUCAUCUGUAUCUUCCUCCCCUCCUUUAUUCAUUUGUUUAUUUUUGUGGUGCUGGGGAUUGAACCCAGGGCCUGUGCAUGAAAGGCAAGCACUUUACCAACUGAUCUAUAUCCCCAGCCCUCCUCCCCUCCUUUAUUUUAAGGUCAACCGCAGGUACUAUUUUACCCUUAAAUACUUCAGUUCAUUUAUUUUUUUCUUUUAACAUAACCACAAUGUCAUUAUCACAUUUAGAAAAUAUCAAAUAUCCAGCAUUAAUGUUUUCCUAAUUGUCUUAAACAUGUCCUGGUACUUGUUAAUAUCACAAGAAGUUCUUCGAUGGUUAUGAACUGGUACAUGGAACUUUAAUCUACUGUCUUCAGUAGAGACAAACAUCUCUGAUUUCUUUUUAAAUGUAUAAUUUCUAGAGUCAUUUACCAUUAUGCAUAGGGGUUUAUUUAGGAUUUUUGUUGGCUGAUUGGUUUGGGAAUUAGAUUUUUAACACUUGAGUUAACUUAUAGCAUUUAAUUUAUUACUAAAUUUUUUUUCAGAAAAACAUUGUCAGGUAAAACACCUGUAAGCUGAAC